GACGAACGCUGGCGGUGUGCUUAACACAUGCAAGUGGUGCGACGAACCAGAGCUUGCUCUGGGGCAAAGCCGCGAACGGGUGAGUAACACGUGGGUAAUCUACCCCGAUGACCGGGACAACCCGAGGAAACUCGGGCUAAUACCGGAUGUGGUGCGGAGACAUAAGUCUCUUCACUAAAGGUAGCUUCGGCUUCCGCAUUGGGAGGGGCCCGCGGCCCAUUAGCUUGUUGGUGGGGUCAAGGCCUACCAAGGCAACGAUGGGUAGCUGGUCUGAGAGGACGAUCAGCCACACUGGGACUGAGACACGGCCCAGACUCCUACGGGAGGCAGCAGUGGGGAAUCUUGCGCAUUGCGCGAAAGCGUGACGCAGCAACACCGCGUGAGGGAAGAAGGCCUUAGGGUUGUAAACCUCUUUCAGAUGGGACGAAGGUUCUCCGGUGAAUAGCCGAGAGGAUUGACGGUACCGUCAGAAGAAGCUCCGGCUAACUACGUG
This 493-nucleotide ribosomal RNA is filed under the name uncultured bacterium. Its description in RNAcentral is "partial 16S ribosomal RNA". It matches the Rfam family "Bacterial small subunit ribosomal RNA", at positions 28 to 507 of the family's 1533-position model. The record is from RNAcentral.